This 482-nucleotide ribosomal RNA is filed under the name uncultured bacterium. Its description in RNAcentral is "bacterial SSU rRNA". It matches the Rfam family "Bacterial small subunit ribosomal RNA", at positions 903 to 1397 of the family's 1533-position model. The record is from RNAcentral.
AAAUGAAUUGACGGGGGCUCGCACAAGCGGUGGAUCAUGGGGCUUAAUUCGUCACUAAGCGAGGAACCUUACCAGGGCUAGAAAUCCUACUGCACGCCUCCCGAAAGGGAGGAAGCCUUCGAGGGUGUAGGACAGGUGAUGCAUGGCCGUCGUCAGUUCGUGGCUUGAGCUGUUCCCUUAAGUGGGGAAACGAACGCAACCCUCGUUGCCUGUUACAAGUGUCAGGCGAGACUGCUCCCUCACGGGAGAGGAAGGUGAGGAUGACGCCAGGUCAGCAUGUCCCUCGAUGCCCUGGGCUGCACCCGUGAUACAAUGGGUAGUACAACGAGACGCAAUGUCGUAAGACGGAGCAAAUCUUUAUAAAACUAUCCUUAAUUCGGAUUGAAGUCUGCAACUCGACUUCAUGAAGCUGGAAUCGCUAGUAAUCGUGGAUCAGCAUCGCCACGGUGAAUACGUUCCCGAGCCUUGUACACACCGCCCGU